Long non-coding RNA from Oncorhynchus keta (chum salmon), 590 nucleotides. RefSeq lists it as uncharacterized. Lineage: Eukaryota; Metazoa; Chordata; Actinopteri; Salmoniformes; Salmonidae. The transcript is spliced from 4 exons. The record is from RefSeq and is a predicted model, not a curated record.
UAAUAGUGGUGAGGAAAGCACCUUCAGGUAAUCUUUCACAAGAAAGGUCAGUAUGUAAUAGUGGUGAGGAAAGCACCUUCAGGUAAUCCUUCACAAGAAAGGUCAGUAUGUAAUAGUGGUGAGGAAAGCACCUUCAGGUAAUCCUUCACAAGAAAGGUCAGUAUGUAAUAGUGGUGAGGAAAGCACCUUCAGGUAAUCCUUCACAAGAAAGGUCAGUAUGUAAUAGUGGUGAGGAAAGCACCUUCAGGUAAUCCUUCACAAGAAAGGUCAGUAUGUAAUAGUGGUGAGGAAAGCACCUUCAGGUAAUCCUUCACAAGAAAGGUCAGUAUGUAAUAGUGGUGAGGAAAGCACCUUCAGGUAAUCCUUCACAAGAAAGGUCAGUAUGUAAUAGUGGUGAGGAAAGCACCUUCAGGUAAUCCUUCACAAGAAAGGUCAGUAUGUAAUAGUGGUGAGGAAAGCACCUUCAGGUAAUCUUUCACAAGAAAGGUCAGUAUGUAAUAGUGGUGAGGAAAGCACCUUCAGGUAAUCCUUCACAAGAAAGGUCAGUAUGUAAUAGUGGUGAGGAAAGCACCUUCAGGUAAUCUUUCACA